GCGAAGCCUGAUCCAGCCAUGCCGCGUGAAUGAUGAAGGCCUUAGGGUUGUAAAAUUCUUUCAGCAGGGAAGAUAAUGACGGUACCUGCAGAAGAAGCCCCGGCUAACUCCGUGCCAGCAGCCGCGGUAAUACGGAGGGGGCUAGCGUUGUUCGGAAUUACUGGGCGUAAAGCGCUCGUAGGCGGAUUGGUCAGUCAGGGGUGAAAGCCCGGAGCUCAACUCCGGAACUGCCUUUGAUACUGCCAGUCUUGAGUUCGGGAGAGGUGAGCGGAAUACCGAGUGUAGAGGUGAAAUUCGUAGAUAUUCGGUGGAACACCAGAGGCGAAGGCGGCUCACUGGACCGAUACUGACGCUGAGGAGCGAAAGCGUGGGGAGCAAACAGGAUUAGAUACCCUGGUAGUCCACGCCGUAAACGAUGAGAGCUAGUUGUCUGGCAGCAUGCUGUUAGGUGACGCAGCUAACGCAUUAAGCUCUCCGCCUGGGGAGUACGGCCGCAAGGUUAAAACUCAAAU
RNAcentral lists this ribosomal RNA (512 nucleotides) under Caulobacter sp. RNAcentral describes it as "bacterial SSU rRNA". It matches the Rfam family "Bacterial small subunit ribosomal RNA", at positions 375 to 906 of the family's 1533-position model. Lineage: Bacteria; Pseudomonadati; Pseudomonadota; Alphaproteobacteria; Caulobacterales; Caulobacteraceae. The record is from RNAcentral.